CAGUAGCCGCGGGAACACGUAGGUGGCAAGCGUUGUCCGGAAUUAUUGGGCGUAAAGGGCUCGCAGGCGGUUUCUUAAGUCUGAUGUGAAAGCCCCCGGCUCAACCGGGGAGGGUCAUUGGAAACUGGGAAACUUGAGCGCAGAAGAGGAGAGUGGAAUUCCACGUGUAGCGGUGAAAUGCGUAGAGAUGUGGAGGAACACCAGUGGCGAAGGCGACUCUCUGGUCUGUAACUGACGCUGAGGAGCGAAAGCGUGGGGAGCGAACAGGAUUAGAUACCCGUGUAGUCCCUGUCUCUUAUAC
Molecule: ribosomal RNA, 301 nt
Filed under: uncultured bacterium
Lineage: Bacteria
Description: partial 16S ribosomal RNA
Rfam family: Bacterial small subunit ribosomal RNA
Source: RNAcentral